GAAGCCAUUGUUAAAAGUAUUUGUAAUGACCCAAAUUCUAACCCAAAGAAUUCAGGUCGAAGCCCAAAUCUAUUUCCAGAGGCCCAUGGUAUUUUCCUAUAAAAACCCACAUUUAUCCACUUUAGUUUCUCACAAACUCUAUACAAAAAAAAGAAGAAGAGCUAGAGAGAGAGUGAGCUAAGAGAAGAAGUGUGAUCAUUUUACAGAGAGUGGGUCGCCGGAGCUCGUGCCGGAGCAACCGUGUGCCGUGAUCACGUUCAGCUCGAUACCACCGAUCGUCCCCCUAGGUAACCACCACAAAACUGCCAUGCAUUUAGUUCAGUUUCGGCCGUUUUAGUAAAUCAACCAUAUCGCCCUAACUGUUGCGAAUUUCGUGUAUGCAAGACCACCAUCGUGUUCCUUUCGUCGAGACGAAGCCGUAGACACCAACCACGCCGUAAUCGGAUCCCGGACGAAGCCGCUAAAGCCUCCCAAAGUUUUGCAUUCGCG
Molecule: long non-coding RNA, 489 nt
Filed under: Brassica rapa (field mustard)
Lineage: Eukaryota; Viridiplantae; Streptophyta; Magnoliopsida; Brassicales; Brassicaceae
Description: long non-coding RNA (BRAP_LNC002780)
Source: RNAcentral